This 851-nucleotide ribosomal RNA is filed under the name uncultured bacterium. Its description in RNAcentral is "bacterial SSU rRNA". It matches the Rfam family "Bacterial small subunit ribosomal RNA", at positions 81 to 967 of the family's 1533-position model. The record is from RNAcentral.
GGUCAGCAAUGGCAGUGGCGGACGGGUGAGUAACACGUAGGAAUCUAUCCUGGGGUGGGGGACAACAGCGGGAAACUGCUGCUAAUACCGCGUGAUACCUGAGGGUCAAAGGCGCAAGUCGCCUUGGGAGGAGCCUGCGUCUGAUUAGCUUGUUGGUGGGGUAAAGGCCUACCAAGGCGACGAUCAGUAGCUGGUCUGAGAGGAUGAUCAGCCACAUUGGGACUGAGACACGGCCCAAACUCCUACGGGAGGCAGCAGUGGGGAAUAUUGGACAAUGGGGGAAACCCUGAUCCAGCAAUGCCGCGUGUGUGAAGAAGGUCUUCGGAUUGUAAAGCACUUUUGGCAGGGACGAUGAUGACGGUACCUGCAGAAUAAGCCCCGGCUAACUUCGUGCCAGCAGCCGCGGUAAUACGAAGGGGGCUAGCGUUGCUCGGAAUGACUGGGCGUAAAGGGCGCGUAGGCGGCGCGUACAGUCAGAAGUGAAAUUCCUGGGCUCAACCUGGGGACUGCUUUUGAUACGUGCGUGCUUGAGUGAGGAAGAGGGUUGUGGAAUUUCCAGUGUAGAGGUGAAAUUCGUAGAUAUUGGAAAGAACACCGGUGGCGAAGGCGGCAACCUGGUCCUUUACUGACGCUGAGGCGCGAAAGCGUGGGGAGCAAACAGGAUUAGAUACCCUGGUAGUCUACGCUGUAAACGAUGUGUGCUGGAUGUGGGGAAAACUUAGUUUUUCAGUGUCGUAGCUAACGCGAUAAGCACACCGCCUGGGGAGUACGGCGCAAGGUUGAAACUCAAAGGAAUUGACGGGGGCCCGCACAAGCGGUGGAGCAUGUGNUAAUUCGAAGCAACGCGCAGA